Long non-coding RNA from Cyprinus carpio carpio, 1372 nucleotides. Lineage: Eukaryota; Metazoa; Chordata; Actinopteri; Cypriniformes; Cyprinidae. The record is from Ensembl.
GCUUCUCUUCUGGUAAGGUGUUCCGCUAUGUUUUCAUUACAUGUACUGUAGUUGUUCUGUGUUUUAUUUCGCUUUCUUCUACAAAGGGGACCUACGUUAUAUACAUAUAUCCCCUUUUUCUUUCUUAGUAUGCAUUUUAAGGUUUAUUUGAGGUCACAGGCCUUUAGUAAACACACCUCUGCGUGUUUCUGUUCCUGUGGCCCACGAGCCCCUGAUGUGUAUCUGAAACCAUCAUGGCUUACCUUUUGCGAAUAUUUGAAACUUCACCAUUAUUAUCAAAGCUGACUUGUUACUACGAUAGAAUUAAGUCAUAUUUACUACUGGUUUGGUUUUUUUUUUUUUUUUAAUGCUUUGGCGAGAUCUCUCAAUGAUGAUAACUCACAGACCUGUACUGAAAUACUGUGAUUGCACUUUAUUUAUCUGAGGAGAGACCGACGUGAAUUUAUUACAUUUUUUUACGAUAAGAGUGUUCUGGAAGCUUCAGAUGCAAACACGUGUUUUAACUAGAGGUUUUUCUUUUGCAGCAAUGGCGACUGCGACGAGCAUGGCCUCAUGGGAAGUUUCCAUGCAGGCUGCUGGGAUGAGCAGGCGGAAAUCUAUUAAAUUUAAGGGCUCCUUCACGUGAUCUUGGAGGGCAUGGUGACCAUAGAUGUUGUAUUGAUCAUCCCACUUUGUCUUGGUGAUGAUGGUGUGGCUAUAAAGAUGUUCAUUGUUGGAACAAAAUGGCUUUUUCAGCAAGAACCUGCAACUCCCUAAGGACUGUUAUUUGUCCAAAACAAAGUGGGUCAAGUCCUUUGCUGGUAUUAGGUUGCGUACCUGAAGUACUCUCAGCAGGUGGCACAUCUGAGAUGAGACAUUCACAGGACUACAGUGGAUUCUUGAAGUCCUUCCCCCUUGAGCAUACUAUAACAGACUGCAGUGAAUUUUCCCUCAGAGUUCUUUACCCCUUGAGCGUACUGAAGCUGGUGUUGCUACUGUCCAUCCAGGUUGUCCCAGUGUCACUUGAUUGCUGGUGUUCUGUUGACUUUUAAAGGUUUGUAUUUUGUAUCAGCUUUUGAAAGUUUAGUUUUACUUUUUAAUGAUGACAUUUAUCGCCCCAGUCUGAUGUGUUAUGACUGAUUGAUGAUUCUGAUAAAUCUAGAAAUAUUUAAAGGUGCUGAUUUAAGAGACUUUUACUGACACUCUUUAUCUCCCCCAGGUCACGUAAACUGCAUCAGAAGUUGAACUGGCUGACACACUGAUCUGUGUCCUUGUACAUCUGCUUAACUGGAGUGUUGGCUGAAUGGUGUUAUUGACUGACGAUAUAAAUGGAAUGUGUUUCCUUUGUAUUCUUUAUUCAAAAGCUGCUUGCAAAAUAAAUGGCUUUACUGAA